Herpailurus yagouaroundi (jaguarundi) is the source of this 2501-nucleotide long non-coding RNA. RefSeq lists it as uncharacterized. The transcript is spliced from 8 exons. The record is from RefSeq and is a predicted model, not a curated record. Lineage: Eukaryota; Metazoa; Chordata; Mammalia; Carnivora; Felidae.
AUAGCAACCUAUAUUGAUGUCACAAGCUCAGGCUUCUGACUUCAUUGCAUAAUGCGGUAGCAAGUGGAUUUGCAGCAGAAACACCCUGCUAAAGAACAAGUAUCUUGGUUCCCAGCAAAGAGGACAAAGGAGAACAGCAAGUUAUAGGGAGUUGAAUGCUGGAUUGUGUACAAUAUGGUGAUUUAAGUCUAUUCCUUACUCAGUGCUCAUCAUGAGGGCCCAGAGUAACAUCUUAAUAGACCAGGUCGACUCUCCUGCUCUUUGUCAUAAUGUACUAGAGGCACCUUGCUCGUCUUGAUGUCCUGCAGAAAAUUACACCAAUCCAUUGCAUUGAUGACAUUUUGAUAAUCAGAUCUGGUUCUCCCGGUGCUGGGGAAAUGUCACUGUGAGAAGAAUAGAAAACUUAUUCCAAAGAGUAUUGAAGACUGACUGAAUCAGGUCUGGAACAUUAUUGAAACGGAUAAUUAUGCGUUGAAGAAAAAGGCAUUCAAUGAGGAGCAAAUGGCAAAAGCAAAUGUGUUAAGAUUCUAAAAAUGACUACUAUCCUAGUAAAAAAUGACUACAUUUUAUACUAUGUGCUAUACACACACACGUACUCACCUGAUCAGAUGGGCGCUAGGGAGUGUGUCUGAAGGCAGCAGGUUUUGCCAAUUGUUCUUAUCCGGUUUCUUCAGUUGACUGACAAAAAAGUACCAAUAAAUGCGCAGUUAGACAAUGUAACUGAGUCAUCGUCAAUGUUGAAUUUUAAAAUUUGAUCAUCUGAAUAUUGGAAGAAAGAAUCAUUCUAAUGAUUGCAGUUCUUCUGAGCAGUUCUUAACGUAUUUUGUCACAAGGCUCACAUUUCAGAAGAUAGAGAAAAGAAAAAUGAAAUUACCAUUAUGGACUGAAGUCUGAGAAGCUGGUAAAAAAAUGUGAGGGUUUGGAGAAACUUUAACACAAGUUCUUAUACUAAGUCGCUGAGGAGAUCCCGGCGUCAUUGUUGACAACAUGUGAUGACACGUGGAGAAUGAGGGAGGCAUCAAAAGAUGCAAAAAUACCGUGGCAGAGACAUCUAGUUGCUCACCCCAAGAGUCAGUCUCUUUUUCUUCUUUCCCAACAGGACUAAAGUGAACUAAACAGAAGUAACGGAACUGAUUUCAUUUGGGGCAAUGUUUUCAAUGGCUGGUGACAAUAUUCUGGCCAAGGAAAUCCAAGAGCAGAUGUUGAUGCGAGUUCUGGGUUGACCAAGAUCACUGAGCCAGGAAGAGUGGCUCUUUUUCCUCUCUGCUGUUCUGGCAACUGUCAUCCUGUAAUGAAGCCAUCUUGGGUCAUGGCAGAGUCCGAAAGAGGGAGGUUAUGAGCUGAGAACAGUGAAAGGGACAAUGGAGACACGGAUCCUGCAUGGCUCCACGGACUGUCUGCCACUGCCCUGUCUAUCGCUGGAUUCUCUUAUUUCAGAAAAAAAGAAAACACAUCUAUUGGAAUGAGAUUAUGUUAUUGAUGGUGAAUGUGUUAUGCAACUGAACCUAAUCCUAACUGAUAAAAUAUCCAGAGUCUAUAGACGGGCUUCAAGGACUAGACACAAGUGCGUGUAAAUCCCAGGAAAAACCCUUGAAGAGAAUUCUAAGUCACUUUGAAAGCACUUGGGGAAAGAAAUUGUGAUUUAUAGGGGAUAAGACACAUUCAAAAAAAGAAUAAUUAUUGCCAAAUUACCUUCAUUUAUUUGGACCUCGUUAUCAGAUUAGUAGCUUUCAUUUAACAGCAAACACUUGGGGAAGAUUGACUACUUGCCAGGUGCUGUUUGAAGUACUUUACAUGUUGUAUUUUUUUGUAAUCAUCGCACAGGUACUGUGAAAAUCCUCACCCUGCAAACAGUGAAACCAAGGCACUAAGGUUUAUAUAACUGAUCCAAUGAGACACGGUUAUGAAGGGAUGGAGACAAGACAUAGCCCGAAUAGCCUGAGUUCAGAGGUCGCUCUAACUCGUACUCUACAUUGUCCUUUAGAGGAAAGCCGUUGACAACCAGUGGAUUACAAUUUUGCCACUAGACACAAUCUCAUAAUAGUGGCAUGGAGACAUGGGAGAUGAGCACUUGGAUAAAUUCAUGAUGCUCAAGCACUGUCAGCCUUCUGGAAGUCUCCUGACAUAUGUCAAGGUUCUUAAUCCAUUCAUGUUUACAAUUUUAUUAAUGGCUGCAGACACAGAAGAUAUCUUUUAUCAAGUGUGUGAGGACCAAAAUAAGUUUAGCCUGCAAAAAAGAACACCUGUGGAAAUAUGGGAGGUCUCAUUAAAAUAAUUAUUCCAUAAUUUUAGAGCCUUAGCAGUCUCCAACAUCAUCAGUUUAGUGGCCCUUCCCGGAGGCAAGAAGGCAAAGUGAUACAAAACCUAUGGGGACAAUAUUUUGCAAUACUGUAAGAAUUGACAAUAUAUUGAAAAAACAUAUACAUUUACCCUUUAAUCCAGAAAUUCCAUUUCUAGGGCAUUAUUGCAAAGAUACACUAGUGAAAAUGAAAAAAAAAAAA